GAUGAACGCUGGCGGCGUGCCCAAUACAUGCAAGUCGAGCGAACAGAUGAGGAGCUUGCUCCUCUGACGUUAGCGGCGGACGGGUGAGUAACACGUGGAUAACCUACCUAUAAGACUGGGAUAACUUCGGGAAACCGGAGCUAAUACCGGAUAAUAUAUUGAACCGCAUGGUUCAAUAGUGAAAGACGGUUUUGCUGUCACUUAUAGAUGGAUCCGCGCCGCAUUAGCUAGUUGGUAAGGUAACGGCUUACCAAGGCAACGAUGCGUAGCCGACCUGAGAGGGUGAUCGGCCACACUGGAACUGAGACACGGUCCAGACUCCUACGGGAGGCAGCAGUAGGGAAUCUUCCGCAAUGGGCGAAAGCCUGACGGAGCAACGCCGCGUGAGUGAUGAAGGUCUUCGGAUCGUAAAACUCUGUUAUUAGGGAAGAACAAAUGUGUAAGUAACUAUGCACGUCUUGACGGUACCUAAUCAGAAAGCCACGGCUAACUACGUG
RNAcentral lists this ribosomal RNA (497 nucleotides) under uncultured bacterium. RNAcentral describes it as "partial 16S ribosomal RNA". It matches the Rfam family "Bacterial small subunit ribosomal RNA", at positions 28 to 507 of the family's 1533-position model. The record is from RNAcentral.